Pelobates cultripes (western spadefoot toad) is the source of this 859-nucleotide non-coding RNA. The record is from the annotation of a GenBank genome assembly. Lineage: Eukaryota; Metazoa; Chordata; Amphibia; Anura; Pelobatidae.
GUCGCUAUCAUUGCACAUAUAGCAUUACAAAACACGAAUGCAUUCGGAUUACAUAGCAUGGUUGCAUACAUGAGGUUAUACAAUAGUUGGCUUAGGUUCUUUCGUCUUGUUGUUGCCUGAUGAGUUGGCUUCUCCUCAGUCUACGCAUCAUUAUAUUGUGCCGACAAGGUUUUCAUUUUGUUGUUUUAAUAACAUGAAAGAACAUAAUAAACAUUUCCCAACGCUUGUGUGGAACCUGUUGGAUAUUUGAACAGAAAACUGGGAGAAAAACUUGGAAAUAGACAGGUGGUGUAUGUGUGGAGAGGUUCCUGGUUCAGAGGUCAUGGUGGUUGCCUGCAUCAGAAGCAGGGGUCAACAUUAGUAUAUAUGGGGUACCCCAGGAUUGGCCCCUUCGGGGUAGGAAUCUGUUCCCGUGUCCGGCCGCACCAGAGGGUCAGGGUUGGGAUUCUUAUUACUGGGUUCGGGGCGAGUACCACCGUCCCUCCCAACUACCGGUCCCCUAAUACCUCCAGUUCGCAGCCACCCACAGUUACCAAAUUUUUUCAUAUGCUUUCACUGUGCCCUUAAUUUGUACAGUCAGGUUGUCCAUAAGUCGUGUGUCUUUGAUUUUAUGGAUUACCUUGUCUAUGGAGGGGAUAUCAGGUUUUAGCCACACUUGUGCCAUGGUUCGCCUGGCAGCCACAGUAAUUUUUUGGAGAAGUUUUUGUUCCCAUCUUGUCCAGUCCUCUAGUGGCCUGGACAGUAGAAAUACCCACGGGUCUCGUUUAACCGGCCUCUGAAAGAUUUUAUCUAGUAAGACGCCUACCACAUAUGUGCAUAAAACCCUCUUUGUCCACAUACUCGCCAACAUCUAUCGUCU